UACGUAGGCAGCAAGCGUUUGUUCGGAGUUACUGGGCGUAAAGAGUGCGUAGGCGGUUUCGUAAGUUUGGUGUGAAAUCUCCCGGCUUAACUGGGAGGGUGCGCCGAAAACUGCGGGGCUGGAGUGUGGGAGAGGUAAGCGGAAUUCCUGGUGUAGGCGGUGAAUGCGUAGAUAUCAGGAGGAACACCGGCGGUGUAGACGGCUUACUGGACCAUGACUGACGCUGAGGCACGAAAGCGUGGGGAGCAAACAG
This 253-nucleotide ribosomal RNA is filed under the name uncultured bacterium. RNAcentral describes it as "partial 16S ribosomal RNA". It matches the Rfam family "Bacterial small subunit ribosomal RNA", at positions 524 to 775 of the family's 1533-position model. The record is from RNAcentral.